GGAAAGCCUUCCACAUACAAAAGAUGGCUCCACUAAAAGUUCCAAAGAUCAGAAGUUUGAAAUCAACUUCACUAGGAUGAAAUUAAGGUGUUCGCAGCAUUGUACUUGCUCCAAAUUGUUACCAUGCAAGGUUGGAAGGACAGAUAUUUGUCCCAUUGAACAAAUGGAAAAAAAGAAUCACAGAAGAUAAAUGAAUCACCCAUGCACCCACAUGAGGUUAGUGGCAGAGUCCAAGACUAGAAACUUUCAUCUGGGAGAGAGUGGUUCAGUCAGACAAAACUUCACUCAAAUCUACUCAAAUCCUGUCUACAAUUUGUCUAACUAUAUUUCUACUCAGACUAGGUUUUGCUGUAGUGACAAACCCCGAAAUGUCAGCAGCUGCACACCCAAUGACUUGGGAGACUGUGGCAGAAUAUUCCAAGUUCAAGGCCAGGCUGAGCAAUUUAGGGAGAACCUCAGAAACUUAGUGAGAGACCCUGUUUCAAAAUUUCAAAAAGAACUUUG
Long non-coding RNA from Sciurus carolinensis (gray squirrel), 504 nucleotides. RefSeq lists it as uncharacterized. NCBI's taxonomy places the organism in Eukaryota, Metazoa, Chordata, Mammalia, Rodentia, Sciuridae. The transcript is spliced from 3 exons. The record is from RefSeq and is a predicted model, not a curated record.